Molecule: long non-coding RNA, 769 nt
Organism: Prionailurus viverrinus (fishing cat)
Lineage: Eukaryota; Metazoa; Chordata; Mammalia; Carnivora; Felidae
Exons: 3
Source: RefSeq, a predicted model, not a curated record
AGGCGGGGGAUGGGUGUGGGGAGGCCGGCCUGACGUGGUUCCGGUGCCCCCUGGCAAGCCUUGCCAGUCCUCCUGCCUGAGCCACGGUCCGCGUCCCCGCGGGAGCUUCUUGACGCAAAAAACGCGGCCUGUUCCGGGGUCCUGGUUCCUUUCUAAAAGACCCACAUUUUUGCCGGUCCCUGGCGUUGAGAGAGCUGUGAGCUAAGAUUUCUGUGCGCGGGGACCAGGGUUCGAAGCUGCUAGAGCCGGAGACAUGGCUGCUGGUGUCUCAGAUGAGGCUCGUGAGGAACCCUUAAGAGACAGAAAACAGUUUCUGGAGGAAACGGCACGAUGCAAUUAUAUGGUUAUUCUUGUCAUCCUUGUCACCAGUGAUGUCAAAUAGCAAUAUGAUGCGAUCCACACAUGUAUUCAAAGAAUUAUCAAUAGGCGCAGAAAAAGUAAGACAUUUUAAUGAAUACAUUAAACACCAAGUUAAAACCCAGUACCUCCAAGGCCCCAGGAACUGAGAUAAAAUUUCAUAUGUUGUGUUCCGGAAAAUCACUUUGAGCAGAACCGAGGGUGCUUGCCAUCAAGAACUACUUUGGGGGAAGUUUCUGUUUACAGCCUUAGGCUGGGCGGCUUUCCGGAGUAGAGACUGUGACUUUCUCACUAAAUUGAUAUCAAAAUGAGUUUUGGCUCAACUCAAGGUAUCUCUGCCCUUUGGGGAAGUGCAGCCGCUAUGGAAUCUUUAAAAUCAGCAACCUCUACAGCACCUACCCAGAAUCAUGCC